Non-coding RNA from Eggerthella sp. CAG:1427, 371 nucleotides. NCBI's taxonomy places the organism in Bacteria, Bacillati, Actinomycetota, Coriobacteriia, Eggerthellales, Eggerthellaceae. The record is from Rfam.
GGGGGCGACUGGUUUCGACAUGGUAAGUCGGAUUCGAGGAGCAGGUCGUGGUCUCCUCGCCACGUUAAACAGGGGUAAAGUCAAGUUAAUUGGCAAAACUAAUACUCAGAGCGCUCCUGCGCUCGCCAUGGCUGCUUAAUUAAUGCCUGGCUGUCGACCUGGUGAAUUUCCCCGCCACUGGGAAGGCAUUAUCUUAGGGGAACGCUCUUUGGCACGUAGUUGGUAUGGCCAAAGCUAAGACUGAACCAGCUAGGAUGGUUUGUGGCCUGUCGGUGGGCUUAAAUCAUUCGAAAUCAAAACAUCGACUAAGCUUGUAGUGCCUUGCUGAUGAUUUAGUAUGGACCGGAGUUCGAUUCUCCGCGCCUCCACCA